This 721-nucleotide ribosomal RNA is filed under the name uncultured bacterium. RNAcentral describes it as "bacterial SSU rRNA". It matches the Rfam family "Bacterial small subunit ribosomal RNA", at positions 1 to 722 of the family's 1533-position model. The record is from RNAcentral.
UUAGAGUUUGAUCCUGGCUCAGGAUGAACGCUAGCGGCAGGCUUAAUACAUGCAAGUCGAGGGGCAGCACGGGUAGCAAUACCUGGUGGCGACCGGCAAACGGGUGCGGAACACGUACGCAACUUUCCUUCAAGUGAGGAAUAGCCCAGGGAAACUUGGAUUAAUACCUCGUAAUAUUAUGAAGUGGCAUCACUUUAUAAUUAUAGCUCCGGCGCUUGAAGAUGGGCGUGCGCCUGAUUAGGUAGUUGGCGGGGUAACGGCCCACCAAGCCUACGAUCAGUAACUGGUGUGAGAGCACGACCAGUCACACGGGCACUGAGACACGGGCCCGACUCCUACGGGAGGCAGCAGUAAGGAAUAUUGGGCAAUGGACGCAAGUCUGACCCAGCCAUGCCGCGUGGAGGAUGAAGGUCCUCUGGAUUGUAAACUUCUUUUAUUUGGGAAGAAACCCAUGUUUUCUAAUGUGGUUGACGGUACCAGAUGAAUAAGCACCGGCUAACUCCGUGCCAGCAGCCGCGGUAAUACGGAGGGUGCAAGCGUUAUCCGGAUUCACUGGGUUUAAAGGGUGCGUAGGUGGGCAGGUAAGUCAGUGGUGAAAUCCCCGAGCUUAACUUGGGAACUGCCGUUGAUACUAUCUGUCUCGAAUAUCGUGGAGGUUAGCGGAAUAUGUCAUGUAGCGGUGAAAUGCUUAGAUAUGACAUAGAACACCGAUUGCGAAGGC